AUUCCAGCUCCAAUAGCGUAUAUUAAAGUUGUUGCAGUUAAAAAGCUCGUAGUUGAAUUUCUGGUGGGAGUGUACAGUCCGACACUGAGUGUUGGUUCUUGUGUGUCUCCGGCCAUCCUUGGAGUGAAUCUGUCUGGCAUUUAGUUGUUGGGCAGAGUAUCUCCAUCGUUUACUGUGAGGAAAGGAAAGUGUUCAAAGCAGGCUUACGCCGUUGAAUCUUUUAGCAUGGAAUAAUAAGAUAGGCUCUUGAGUGCUACUUUGUUGGUUUAUACACUUAGAGAAUGAUUAACAGGGACAGUUGGGGGUAUUCAUAUUUACAUGUCAGAGGUGAAAUUCUUGGACUUAUUAAAGAUGAACAACUGCGAAAGCAUUUACCAAGGAUGUUUUCAUCA
This 392-nucleotide ribosomal RNA is filed under the name Eucampia sp. Its description in RNAcentral is "partial small subunit ribosomal RNA". It matches the Rfam family "Eukaryotic small subunit ribosomal RNA", at positions 582 to 975 of the family's 1831-position model. The record is from RNAcentral. Lineage: Eukaryota; Bacillariophyta; Thalassiosirophyceae; Eucampiales; Eucampiaceae.